GAUGAACGCUAGCGGCAGGCCUAACACAUGCAAGUCGAGGGAUAAGCCUUCGGGCUAAGACCGGCGCACGGGUGCGUAACGCGUAUACAAUCUGCCUUUUAUCCGGGGGAUAGCCCGAAGAAAUUUGGAUUAAUACCCUAUGGUAUAAGAGCACGGCAUCGUGCACUUAUUAAAGCUACGGCGGUAAAAGAUGAGUAUGUGUUCUAUUAGCUAGUUGGAGAGGUAACGGCUCCCCAAGGCGACGAUAGAUAGGGGUUCUGAGAGGGAUGUCCCCCACACUGGUACUGAGAUACGGACCAGACUCCUACGGGAGGCAGCAGUGAGGAAUAUUGGACAAUGGUCGGAAGACUGAUCCAGCCAUGCCGCGUGCAGGAUGACGGCCCUAUGGGUUGUAAACUGCUUUUGUAAGGGAAGAAUAAGGAGUACGUGUACUUUGAUGACGGUACCUUACGAAUAAGCAUCGGCUAACUCCGUG
RNAcentral lists this ribosomal RNA (475 nucleotides) under uncultured bacterium. RNAcentral's name for it is "partial 16S ribosomal RNA". It matches the Rfam family "Bacterial small subunit ribosomal RNA", at positions 28 to 507 of the family's 1533-position model. The record is from RNAcentral.